Molecule: ribosomal RNA, 301 nt
Filed under: uncultured bacterium
Lineage: Bacteria
Description: partial 16S ribosomal RNA
Rfam family: Bacterial small subunit ribosomal RNA
Source: RNAcentral
CAGUCGCCACGGUAAUACAGAGGGUGCAAGCGUUAAUCGGAAUUACUGGGCGUAAAGCGCGCGUAGGUGGUUCGCCAAGUUGGAUGUGAAAUCCCCGGGCUCAACCUGGGAACUGCAUCCAAAACUGGCGAGCUAGAGUAUGGUAGAGGGUGGUGGAAUUUCCUGUGUAGCGGUGAAAUGCGUAGAUAUAGGAAGGAACAUCAGUGGCGAAGGCGACCACCUGGACUGAUACUGACACUGAGGUGCGAAAGCGUGGGGAGCAAACAGGAUUAGAUACCCGAGUAGUCCCUGUCUCUUAUAA